UUUUGAAAUUCUCUUGUUUUUCUAAAGGUCUGUUACUUAGGAGGUGAUGCACAUUGAGCAUUAUUUUGUCCUGCGCAUGAAUUAACCUAUCUGUCAUUAUCAAAGGUCCUUCCCUAUCCCUGGUGUGGAGAUGGUGUGGUUCUGACCCUGCUUCGUCUGAGAUUCGUAUAGCCACUGCCGGUUUCAUGUGCUUGAUCUCUGCACGAUAUUUGACGAUCUCCUCUGGAAAAACAAGGGAGAAAGCCAGCCAGAGGAGCGACGGGAUCCAGCAGUGGCCCUGACCCGGAAGAAGGAGGAGCAGAGGUGGCGGCAGAAACAACGGAAUCCGACUCUGUAUGCUCCCGGAAAUUGCUUCUUUUGUUCAACAUAAUGUAUGUGGUGUUUAUCCACAUUGACGCAGGCUGGCUUCUGAGAGAGCAGCAAUUUAAGCCUCUCAUUCUCCGAAUAAAUGGCCUGCUACCAGUCGCCUGGCCAAACACAUCACGUGAGUAGCACUGUUUGAUGGUGCCUGAGGGCCCGAGGACCGACCCCUCCCAGCACACCCCACAGCACACCCAGGUCCUGCCUGGGCUCCCAGUUUGCGGGGAAACAUUGGGAAGGGGUUGCCAUCUCCCUUUGAUGGCCUUUCAUCCCACAGCCCUGGGCACAGGCCUCUUUGUGCAAUGGCUGUAUUAUGUACCCCCGACCCAGAAGUCUCUGUUUCCUCACAUUUAAAAGGAGUGGAUGGUGUCACCUGAUCUCUGAGCUCACUCCUGUCUCCAGGAGUCCAGGCGCAACAGCUCCCGCCCUCCUACAGCCCCCUGUCUGCAUCUCUUCCAGCACCACCUUCUCUGCCCCUCAGUGCUCACCACUCCUGUCACUUUCCUGGCAGCUGUGCAUUUCCCUCGGAGGCUCAGGACCCCCUCGUCCCUAGCCCUCUCCGGAGACCACAAUUCAAGAUGACUCAAGGGCAGUUCACCGGAAGACAGAGCAUCUCGGUUUCAAAAUCAUCAGCAUUGGGAACAAGCUGAUCUCUAAGGAACAUGCUCCCCGUGCUGCUCUCCAUGCAACCACAUCCUAAAGCCAAUCUCCCCACAGGCCUCGUCCUUGAAAGGGACCAGCCACAGACGAGAACUACGUUCAGGUUUGCUCCUUCUCUGGGUUUCCAUGGAGAGAAUUUAGCUGGAUGGAGGCAUCAGUCCGGUUUCUCCAGAGAAAUAGAACCAAUAGAAUAUAAAUAUAUGAAGAAGUUUAUUUGACGGAAUUGCCUCCCGCGAUUGUGGGGGCUGCUAAGUCCAGAAUCUGCAGGGCAGGUCAGCAGCUGGAAACUCGGGAAGGAGUCGAUAUUGAAGUCUCGAGGCAGAAUUUCUUCUUCUCUGGGAAACCUCAGUGUUUGCUCUUAAGGCCUUUAACUGAUUGGGUGAGGCCCACCCACAUCCUGGAGGGCCACCUUUAUUUGACCACAUCUGCAAAAUACUCUCACAGCAACACCCAGAUCCGUAUUUGAUUAAAUCACCAGGUACUAGGGUCCAUCCAAGCUGACACCUAAGCCAACCAUCAUACUUGUUUGAAAAGCCCCCUCGAGGAUGGCAGGAUGGCAGCAAAUGCUCAGGACCAGCUUCCAUCCGACAGGGCGGCACUUGCUUGGACAUAAAUGCAGGACUGAGCUGCACAAUCAGUGUGGUGGUUCCUCGGCUUGGAUGCAUCUCCCUUGAAUUGUACAGAUGCUGGGACAGACUUUACAAGCCAGAGUCGACUAGUUUCCAUGGGACUUGGUCAAAGAAGAGAUUCCAAGUGUAGAAAGUUGCUACCGUUUCUCUUUUGGCUCUAAAAUAGCAUUAGAAGGAGUUACAGUGAUGUUACCUGGGAACUGGCUGACGGAAGCUGGGUUUUGACGUUUGGUACUUAAAUUCAAAUGAUUCCCAAGCUGUUUAUAUUUAGGGAAUUAUUUUUCCUGCCAAGGUAAUUGCUGUGGCUGGUUUCGUGUGUGGAGGGCUUGGACCAUAUCCUGUAUGGCGUGAUCCCAAGGAGCACUGGGAAAAGCCACUUCUUUCACAGUGUUUUUUUCUGUUCACCUGUCAUAGACCCUGAAAUUCCACAGGUGGAGAUUCAUUCUUCAGCAUCAACUCCUUGAACAGUUACAAGGAAAAUACCCUGAAACUUUGCACACAGCAAGGUCCUGAUUUGCUUUGGAGAGGAUUGUGUGGGAUUUUCCCGGUAGUGAAGGCUGUGAAAUCAUUCUUGGGUGGGGCCUGACUGGACACCCUCCCUGAGAACAGGAAGUAGGAGGUAGGAAGAAAGAGAAGGAUCGGGAGAAAGGUAUCUGGAAGACAAUGCAAGAAGGUGAGUGGGCAGAAGAGAGAUGCCCCGGGGUAGCUACUGGCACAAGACUAUUCGAGUAAGAACAUGGAAGAUGGAUCUUCUGUAGUGUAACAGUUGCCGUGAGCCUAACAAAUCAGGACUUCCCUCUGUUUACUGGAUGUACACUCCACUCCACGGCGCUUGGACUCAGGAUGAUCUCCUACUCCUGGCAUGACCAACUCAUCCUGGUUGCCUGGGACUUUCCCAGUUCCAACACUGAAGGUCCUUUGAUCAGGGAGUGCUCUCACUCCUGGACAAACGCGGAUGUUUGGUCACCCUCCAUUCCACCAUCACCAUGGAAGCUGAGGAGGGAAUUUCUUUUGUGAAUUUACCAAAGGGGGAUACUUUGCCAGGCAAACUUGAGUUUGGGGUGCGAGGACUGAGACCCUAAAGGCAGACAAGAGCUUGAGACACCAGGAGCUCAACAGGAAAUCACUAACCUCCUUGAUUGGUCUUCUGGGCGGACAGCACAUGUUCAAUGCCUCCUAUGAGCUAAAUACAGGUCACAGGAAACCACAUGCAUGUGCUGGCAUGUUGGCGCUGUCUAUACCCUCUUCGGGAGGAGGCUCGGUCUAGUGCUCAGAACGGCUGAGGGUCAGCAGACCUGGGCUUUUGUCUUGGCUCAUCCAUUAAAUUACGUGUGACCGUCAGUAGUCCUUUUGUCUCCCCUCAAUUUCCUCAUCUAUAAAAUGUGGGGUUUUGUGUCAGGUGUCACAUCCACUGCCGGUAUGAACAAUCCCUGCAUCUUUCCCCUCUAGAACACAAUGGAAGGGCCUCAGAAGGGCGGGAAAGACACCGUCACCACAGGUAAGGAUCUGGUGGAGCUCUUCGCGACACUUGGGGCCACAAACUCAGCACUGGGCAAGCAAACCUCCCACCUUGCAGUGAAAGGCACAGGACUAGAGUCACCCCAAGACAAAGCAAAUGCAUUUCCCCAGGAAACACAACCUAUUAGACUGUUUGCUGUCGUGCUGUCCUUGGUGAAGGUAAGUUUCUCCAGAUAAAACCCUGUCAUCUUGUACAACAGAGACCGGGCACGGAUGGGAGGAGUGGAAAGGAGAGUAUGAACAUCUCAGUGGUUGUAGGAAGCGCUGAGCAUCAAAUAGCAGCUUGAGGCCUUCAGGGUGGGAACUGAAUAGAGAGAAAUUUCCAGAAAGGGUGGCAAAAUUCGGCAGUCCCAAAAGGAAAGGUCCCAAGGGCUCUGGCCAGCUGGGGUAGUUUAUUCCACUAGCCCCAUGUGGGUUCUCUCAGGUCUCUACCUGAGAGGGAGUC
Equus caballus (horse) is the source of this 3612-nucleotide non-coding RNA. NCBI's taxonomy places the organism in Eukaryota, Metazoa, Chordata, Mammalia, Perissodactyla, Equidae. The record is from RefSeq and is a predicted model, not a curated record.